Long non-coding RNA from Sycon ciliatum, 773 nucleotides. RefSeq lists it as uncharacterized. The transcript is spliced from 3 exons. NCBI's taxonomy places the organism in Eukaryota, Metazoa, Porifera, Calcarea, Leucosolenida, Sycettidae. The record is from RefSeq and is a predicted model, not a curated record.
CUGAACAUCGAAACCAGGAACAGCAUUCACAUGUAUAAUGUAGGUCAAUUAGGCGCCACACUCGACGGAUGCUGCUUUAUAAGCCGUACACUAAAGGCCACAGCUUCCAAUCAUGACAUGCAUGAUGCAAAGCAGCGUUGCAGCAUCGCAGGCAUGAAUCGUGGACGUGGUGACGGGGUCUGAUGUGCUUUAAACUCAGGUGGUCUCCACUUUGAUGCGGACAUGAGCUGGAACACCAUGGUCGACCACGUCGCACGGGGCGUCGCGUCGAAAGUUGGCGUGCUCAGACGAUACGCUACGUUCCUGCCUUUUCAAUGUCGCAUAGCCUAUUUUCGUUCUUUCAUUUUAUCACACUUUAUGUAUGCCUCUUCUGCUUACUUACCAUUUCUCACGGCAUAUCAAAGUCGACGGCUUAAUGGGCUCUUCAAGCGUGCUGUACGUACAGUCUGUCGGGUACCUCCCGGGACACCCACAAGCAAUAUUCUUACACGCAUGAACAUCCAAACAUUGACCACAUACGCCAACAUGCACCUUCUGGUAUUUAUCUGGCGUUGUCUCCAUGACUCCUCUAACAUCAGCAUGUUGUUCGCUAACUUUUUCAGCCGCAGUAAUUCCACUCGAACUCGUGGUGGGCACAGCAAUUUACUGAUUGUCCCAGCCAGCCCAACUGCAUAUCUUGCCAAACGUGUUACCUAUGCUGGGACCAUCUUAUGGAACCAGCUCCCCGCUGCGGUCAGGCAAGAAAGAAAACGCAAUCGCUUUAAGUCAAUGGC